UAGGGAAUCUUCGGCAAUGGGGGGAACCCUGACCGAGCAACGCCGCGUGAGUGAAGAAGGUUUUCGGAUCGUAAAGCUCUGUUGUUAAGGAAGAACGAGUGUGAGAAUGGAAAGUUCAUACUGUGACGGUACUUAACCAGAAAGGGACGGCUAACUACAUGCCAGCAGCCGCGGUAAUACGUAGGUCCCGAGCGUUGUCCGGAUUUAUUGGGCGUAAAGCGAGCGCAGGCGGUUAGAUAAGUCUGAAGUUAAAGGCAGUGGCUCAACCAUUGUAGGCUUUGGAAACUGUUUAACUUGAGUGCAGAAGGGGAGAGUGGAAUUCCAUGUGUAGCGGUGAAAUGCGUAGAUAUAUGGAGGAACACCGGUGGCGAAAGCGGCUCUCUGGUCUGUAACUGACGCUGAGGCUCGAAAGCGUGGGGAGCGAACAGG
This 429-nucleotide ribosomal RNA is filed under the name Bacteroidota bacterium. RNAcentral describes it as "Bacteroidetes bacterium partial 16S ribosomal RNA". It matches the Rfam family "Bacterial small subunit ribosomal RNA", at positions 355 to 776 of the family's 1533-position model. The record is from RNAcentral. Lineage: Bacteria; Pseudomonadati; Bacteroidota.